CCGCAAGGCUAAAACCCAAAGGAAUUGACGGGGGCUUACACAAGCGGUGGAGCAUGUGGUUUAAUUCGAAACAACGCGCAAAACCUUACCAAUCUUUGAAAUAUGCAUCGAAAAACAUGUUACUUUUGUUUUUCUUUUUGCAUACAGGUGCUGCAUGGCUGUCGUCAGUUCGUGGUGUGAGCUGUUGGGUUAAGUCCUAGAACGAACGCAACCCUCAUUUUAAGUUGUUUUUUUGAAUCUCUUAAAAAACUGCCAGUGAUAUACGGGAGGAAGGUGAGGAUGACGUCAAGUCCGCAUGGCCCUUAUAGGUUGGGCUACACACGUGCUACAAUGGUGAUGACAAAAAGAGGCAAUAUGGCGACAUGGAGCAAAUCUUGAAAAAUCAUCUCAGUCCGGAUUGUUCUCUGCAACUCGAGAACAUGAAGUUGGAAUCGCUAGUAAUCGUAGAUCAGCAUGCUACGGUGAAUUUGUAUCUAAGCCUUGUACACACCGCCCGUCACACUACGAAAGCGAGUUUGCCUCAAAGGAGGUUUUCAAAAAAACCUAAAAUACAAAGAAAAAAAACGAUGCCUUGCUUUUCCAUUUUUGUAUAGUUUUUUUGCCAUCUCUCACAGUCAAUCAUGCAAUUGUAGUG
Molecule: ribosomal RNA, 634 nt
Filed under: uncultured picoeukaryote
Lineage: Eukaryota
Description: partial 16S ribosomal RNA
Rfam family: Bacterial small subunit ribosomal RNA
Source: RNAcentral